This 338-nucleotide unclassified non-coding RNA is filed under the name soil metagenome. RNAcentral's name for it is "partial contains 5.8S ribosomal RNA, internal transcribed spacer 2, and large subunit ribosomal RNA". The stretch from base 1 to 122 matches the Rfam family "5.8S ribosomal RNA", at positions 35 to 154 of the family's 154-position model. The record is from RNAcentral.
GAUGAAGAACGUAGCGAAAUGCGAUACGUAAUGUGAAUUGCAGAUCUCUCAGUGAAUCAUCGAAUCUUUGAACGCACAUUGCGCCCGCUAGUAUUCUGGCGGGCAUGCCUGUCCGAGCGUCAUUUCAACCAUCAAGCCCCGGGCUUGUGUUGGGGUCCUGCGGCCGUCCGCAGCCCCCGAAAAGCAGUGGCGGGCUCGCUAUCACACCGAGUGCAGUAGUAUCUCCUCGCUCUGGUCGUGUGGUGGGUGCCGGCCGUGAAACCCCCUACUUUUACAAAGGUUGACCUCGGAUCAGGUAGGAAUACCCGCUGAACUUAAGCAUAUCAAUAAGCGGAGGA